UUAUCUUCGCAAUCCGUUCUCCUGCAAAGCGGAGAUUGUGUGAUUUUGCAAAGAAGAAUUAUUGAGGAUUGAUUGCAUGGCGCGUAUUGCGGGAAUUAAUAUUCCAGAU
Molecule: small RNA, 109 nt
Filed under: Candidatus Kentrum sp. DK
Lineage: Bacteria; Pseudomonadati; Pseudomonadota; Gammaproteobacteria
Description: Candidatus Kentron sp. DK Alpha operon ribosome binding site
Rfam family: Alpha operon ribosome binding site
About the family: The bacterial alpha operon ribosome binding site is surrounded by this complex pseudoknotted structure.
Source: RNAcentral